Molecule: regulatory RNA element, 114 nt
Organism: Daphnia magna
Lineage: Eukaryota; Metazoa; Arthropoda; Branchiopoda; Diplostraca; Daphniidae
Rfam family: Potassium channel RNA editing signal
About the family: This family represents a group of sequences related to the human potassium channel Kv1.1 hairpin element which directs the efficient modification of an adenosine to inosine by an adenosine deaminase acting on RNA (ADAR).
Source: Rfam
GUCGGCUACGGCGACAUGGCCCCCAAAACCUAUGUCGGCAUGUUCGUCGGCGCCCUGUGCGCUCUGGCCGGCGUGUUAACCAUUGCCUUGCCCGUACCUGUCAUCGUCUCCAAC